CUUCUGUGUCCUUUCUCCCUCCGUAGGAAGGGAAGGGACCCGCGGCCUCGCAACACCACCACCCCAAACACCGUUCUCGCGUCUCCGGCCCGCAUGGCUCUCCGCCUCCCCCUCCUCCUGCUCCUUCUGGCCGUCGCCUCCGUGGCCACGCCAUCGGCCGUCGCCACUGCCGAUCCCAACGUCCAGUGGGGACUCGUCCGCGUCGACGGCGGAGACGCCGCGGGGCUCGGGGCCUCGGCUCCCACCUGCGACGGCCUCGUAGGGGAGUGCGUCGACGAGGACGACGAGCCCGACAUGGAACCGGAGGACGCCCGCCGCUUCCUGU
RNAcentral lists this long non-coding RNA (325 nucleotides) under Musa acuminata (dwarf banana). Its description in RNAcentral is "long non-coding RNA (MACU_LNC003847)". The record is from RNAcentral. Lineage: Eukaryota; Viridiplantae; Streptophyta; Magnoliopsida; Zingiberales; Musaceae.